Non-coding RNA from Triticum aestivum (bread wheat), 135 nucleotides. NCBI's taxonomy places the organism in Eukaryota, Viridiplantae, Streptophyta, Magnoliopsida, Poales, Poaceae. The record is from Rfam.
AAAGUACUCCCUCCAUCCCAAAAUUCUUGUCUUAGAUUUGUCUAGAUACGGAUGUAUCAAGUCACAUUUUAGUAUUAGAUACAUCCGUAUCUAGACAAAUCUAAGACAAGAAAUUUGGGACAAAGGGAGUAGUUG